Molecule: ribosomal RNA, 94 nt
Filed under: uncultured bacterium
Lineage: Bacteria
Description: partial 16S ribosomal RNA
Rfam family: Bacterial small subunit ribosomal RNA
Source: RNAcentral
AGAGUUGGGGAUACCCGAAGCCUGUGAGCUAACAGUAAUGAAGCAGCAGUCGAAGGUAGAAUCAAUGAUUGGGGUGAAGUCGUAACAAGGUACC